GAUGAACGCUGGCGGCGUGCCUAAUACAUGCAAGUCGAGCGAAUGGAUUAAGAGCUUGCUCUUAUGAAGUUAGCGGCGGACGGGUGAGUAACACGUGGGUAACCUGCCCAUAAGACUGGGAUAACUCCGGGAAACCGGGGCUAAUACCGGAUAACAUUUUGAACCGCAUGGUUCGAAAUUGAAAGGCGGCUUCGGCUGUCACUUAUGGACGGACCCGCGUCGCAUUAGCUAGUUGGUGAGGUAACGGCUCACCAAGGCAACGAUGCGUAGCCGGCCUGAGAGGGUGAUCGGCCACACUGGGACUGAGACACGGCCCAGACUCCUACGGGAGGCAGCAGGAGGGAAUCUUCCGCAAUGGACGAAAGUCUGACGGAGCAACGCCGCGUGAGUGAUGAGGGCGUUCGGGUCGUAAAACUCUGUUGUUAGGGAAGAACAAGUGCUAGUUGAAUAAGCUGGCACCUUGACGGUACCUAACCAGAAAGCCACGGCUAACUACGUGCCAGCAGCCGCGGUAA
RNAcentral lists this ribosomal RNA (515 nucleotides) under uncultured bacterium. Its description in RNAcentral is "partial 16S ribosomal RNA". It matches the Rfam family "Bacterial small subunit ribosomal RNA", at positions 28 to 523 of the family's 1533-position model. The record is from RNAcentral.